AGAGUUUGAUCCUGGCUCAGAACGAACGCUGGCGGCGUGGAUAAGACAUGCAAGUCGAACGAGAGAAUUGCUAGCUUGCUAAUAAUUCUCUAGUGGCGCACGGGUGAGUAACACGUGAGUAACCUGCCCCCGAGAGCGGGAUAGCCCUGGGAAACUGGGAUUAAUACCGCAUAGUAUCGAAAGAUUAAAGCAGCAAUGCGCUUGGGGAUGGGCUCGCGGCCUAUUAGUUAGUUGGUGAGGUAACGGCUCACCAAGGCGAUGACGGGUAGCCGGUCUGAGAGGAUGUCCGGCCACACUGGAACUGAGACACGGUCCAGACACCAACGGGUGGCAGCAGUCGAGAAUCAUUCACAAUGGGGGAAACCCUGAUGGUGUGACGCCGCGUGGGGGAAUGAAGGUCUUCGGAUUGUAAACCCCUGUCAUGUGGGAGCAAAUUAAAAAGAUAGUACCACAAGAGGAAGAGACGGCUAACUCUGUGCCAGCAGCCGCGGUAAUACAGAGGUCUCAAGCGUUGUUCGGAAUCACUGGGCGUAAAGCGUGCGUAGGCUGUUUCGUAAGUCGUGUGUGAAAGGCGCGGGCUCAACCCGCGGACGGCACAUGAUACUGCGAGACUAGAGUAAUGGAGGGGGAACCGGAAUUCUCGGUGUAGCAGUGAAAUGCGUAGAUAUCGAGAGGAACACUCGUGGCGAAGGCGGGUUCCUGGACAUUAACUGACGCUGAGGCACGAAGGCCAGGGGAGCGAAAGGGAUUAGAUACCCCUGUAGUCCUGGCAGUAAACGGUGCACGCUUGGUGUGCGGGGAAUCGACCCCCUGCGUGCCGGAGCUAACGCGUUAAGCGUGCCGCCUGGGGAGUACGGUCGCAAGAUUAAAACUCAAAGAAAUUGACGGGGACCCGCACAAGCGGUGGAGUAUGUGGCUUAAUUCGAUGCAACGCGAAGAACCUUACCUGGGCUUGACAUGUAAUGAACAACAUGUGAAAGCAUGCGACUCUUCGGAGGCGUUACACAGGUGCUGCAUGGCCGUUGUCAGCUCGUGUCGUGAGAUGUUUGGUUAAGUCCAGCAACGAGCGCAACCCCUGUUGCCAGUUACCAGCACGUGAAGGUGGGGACUCUGGCGAGACUGCCCAGAUCAACUGGGAGGAAGGUGGGGACGACGUCAGGUCAGUAUGGCCCUUAUGCCCAGGGCUGCACACGUACUACAAUGCCCAGUACAGAGGGGGCCGAAGCCGCGAGGCGGAGGAAAUCCUGAAAACUGGGCCCAGUUCGGACUGUAGGCUGCAACCCGCCUACACGAAGCCGGAAUCGCUAGUAAUGGCGCAUCAGCUACGGCGCCGUGAAUACGUUCCCGGGUCUUGCACACACCGCCCGUCA
RNAcentral lists this ribosomal RNA (1370 nucleotides) under uncultured bacterium. Its description in RNAcentral is "bacterial SSU rRNA". It matches the Rfam family "Bacterial small subunit ribosomal RNA". The record is from RNAcentral.